This 253-nucleotide ribosomal RNA is filed under the name uncultured bacterium. Its description in RNAcentral is "partial 16S ribosomal RNA". It matches the Rfam family "Bacterial small subunit ribosomal RNA", at positions 524 to 776 of the family's 1533-position model. The record is from RNAcentral.
UACGUAGGGUGCAAGCGUUGUCCGGAAUUAUUGGGCGUAAAGAGCGUGUAGGCGGCCUGACAGGUCUGCUGUGAAAACUCGAGGCUCAACCUCGAGACGCCGAUGGAAACCAUCUGACUAGAGUCCGGAAGAGGAGAGUGGAAUUCCUGGUGUAGCGGUGAAAUGCGCAGAUAUCAGGAAGAACACCCGUGGCUAAGGCGGCUCUCUAGUACGGUACUGACGCUGAGACGCGAAAGCGUGGGGAGCGAACAGG